CGGACGGGUGAGUAAUGUCUGGGAAACUGCCUGAUGGAGGGGGAUAACUACUAGAAACGGUAGCUAAUACCGCAUAACGUCGCAAGACCAAAGAGGGGGACCUUAGGGCCCCUUGCCAUCGGAUGUGCCCAGAUGGGAUUAGCUAGUAGGUGGGGUAACGGCUCACCUAGGCGACGAUCCCUAGCUGGUCUGAGAGGAUGACCAGCCACACUGGAACUGAGACACGGUCCAG
This 232-nucleotide ribosomal RNA is filed under the name uncultured bacterium. RNAcentral describes it as "partial 16S ribosomal RNA". It matches the Rfam family "Bacterial small subunit ribosomal RNA", at positions 99 to 334 of the family's 1533-position model. The record is from RNAcentral.